GCAGCCCAGCGCCGAGCCCAGGAGUGUCAGAACCUGAAACUAAGGCGUUGUGGCCCCACAGGAAUCUCAGAUACUGAGCAGGUAGUCUGCUGCAGAGCCCAGCUCAAACACAAACGGAGGAGAAAGAAACGUUCAACAGAGAGAAUCCCAGUAAAUCCACUCACCGCGGGUUUCAGACCGGCAGGACAAACAGAUGCAAAGCCAUUCUUCAGUAAGGGGACGCUGCCGAUUGCUCCCACGAGGAAGCUAAGUUUAGGCUCCAUGCAAUCUUCCCAGGCUGAGUGACUCAGCCCAGCAGGGAGGCUGAGAGAAACGCACUAAACUCCUCCCUCACACACACACACAAACACAAACACACAUACACACACACACACCCCCACGCACCCCCACACCCCACUUAGGAAACUUUCACAACGACCAACACAAAUCAGGAGCUCAAGACACAAAAUGAUCCGACUGAUGGGAUAACAGCUGUUCCACCUGCAGACAGACUUUAGACCCAACAGGAUGUUAAAAGUUGGACUUUGUGUCAUUUUGAUGAAAUGAGCAAAAAAUCUUUAACUUGAGGCCCAAUUAGAUGGAUCAAUGCCAGGCAAACAGGACAGAACACUGCAAAAACUCAAAGUCUGACCAGGUAGAUUUUAUCCAGUUAUAGUCCAAAUAUCUUAUUACACUUAAAACAAGACAAAACUAACUUACAGAUAACUUUUCAGAAAUACUUUUUCACUUAUAACAAGACAUUAUCAAAGCAUUCUGCUAGUGAAACUAUCUAUCAAUUAAAUUUAUUUUAAUAGCACAUUUCAGCAACAAGGCAGCUGGAAGUGCUUUACUUCAUAAAAAUACAAAAAUUAAAACCCAUAAAAAUAACAUAGACUCAUUAUUUAGAGAAACCGGUGGCAAACAUUACAAUUUAUCGAGUGUCAACAUGAAAAUCAUCAAAAUACAUCAAAUAUGUUGGUCAAUAUUCCAUUUAUUAUGGUUCUAAAGCAGCUUUAACCAGGUGGGUUUUAGUUUUGAUUCAUAGAAACUCAGAGUUUCAGCUCUUUUUCAGUUUUCUGGAAGUUUGCUCUAGUACUUAAUAAUCAUUAUUAAGAAAUUAUUGAUCUAAAACAAGCUCCUACAUCUUCUUAAAAAGUUACUUGUAAUUUAGUUUUGUCUUAUUUUAAGUGUAAUAAGAUAUUUACAGUAAGAUUUUAUGUUUUUGCAGUGUAAACCUGACCAGAGUACAUCACAGCAAACAACUAAAACGGUUUCUGUUAAUUUUUUAAAUGCUGAAUCAUUAUUCUGUGAAAAUCUAACAUUAUGAUGGUAAAAACCAGGGCCAGCAUGUACCUUUAACCAGCUCUGACCUGUCCAUGUUCUGCAGCUGCUCCUGGUUCCAGUCUAGUUACACAUUUAUUUAGAUAAAUUGCCAGCAGACAUGGCAGUGCGUUGCCUCUGAGCGUUUUACGAAUAAAAAGAAGAAGCAAACCCAACAGCGACGCCCAAGCCGGAAGAUUUCACGUCAAUAGAAACGACGGGACAGAAAGGCUUGAUGUGAAAAUCAGCUGAAUGAACGUCAGAGGUGUGUGUUUAUGCUGCUGAACAUUCACAUGAAUAGUUUUGACACCUGACUGUUCAAUGAGGAAGGAAUGACAUCUCGCUCUCUCAGGGAACCAGUCGGACCAGAAUGGAUUCCAAUCAUUAAUUUUCCGUCUGAAACCAAAGCACAACGGUCACAAACAGACGGGUGGUGAGGACAAGCAGCUGCAUUUCAAACCUACGGCUUAAAAUAACACAAUGAUUGAGCAUUAUUUACUAAAAACACAUCAUCAUCCUCACAACUGUGUGAAGCAACAACACAGAGGUAGCAAAAGUCAACUCUGCACAUCCCUGCAGCCGUGCUGUUCUGAAAACAACAUGGGU
Long non-coding RNA from Xiphophorus hellerii (green swordtail), 1905 nucleotides. RefSeq lists it as uncharacterized. Lineage: Eukaryota; Metazoa; Chordata; Actinopteri; Cyprinodontiformes; Poeciliidae. The transcript is spliced from 2 exons. The record is from RefSeq and is a predicted model, not a curated record.